CGCACUUAGAAAACGAGGGAGGGGUGUAAAAACAAAUCAGUAAAAGGGGAAAAAGAAGAGAAAUCUGUGAUAUUUAACAGCUUGGACGAGCCGGUGCUACACCAACUUCUUAGAAAAACUUCGAUAGCGAGUCCAUGUUAAAAAUAGAAGAAAGGGCUUCCUGUGUUUUUACUGUAGGCUAUGUAGGACUUUAACACCCAACGGGAAGAGAAAAGUAAAUCAGCAAGAAGGGAAAACUGAGAAGGAAACGAGGAGAGAUCAACAUGGAAAUGAAAACACGAAGCCGAAGGACACUACCCCCUUCGUUUAUGGCUACGUAAGAUUUAUGACUUCUACCACACAGGACUAGCUGUAAACAGCUACUUUAAAAAGAUGCAUUUCGUGUGGGAACUUGAAUAGAGAGGAUCACCAACGGUGUAGGAAGAAGGUAGGAGACAAAAAUCACAUACCGGGGAAGACAAGUUACAAUUUCUGAGUUAUGGCAAGAGAAGAAUCUAUACGAACAUGAUUUUUGGGAUUACAACAUGCCGGUGCUUGUUAGAAGAUUGAGGAAGAGUAAUUCCGUUAUUUCCAUAGGAUGACUUAGAUGCGUCGUCUUCCUGAUACAUUGGAGUUGACUGAGUCAUGGAUAUACUAUUUCAACGUUGGAAUAUAUGGACAGAUUUUGGGAUGCAAGGUUUUCCUUUUUCCUGCAGUGAACAUUGCAACCAACAUAUUACAUAAAGAGACUACAAACUCAAUGAGACUUUUCGUUGGGAUUUCCUAUUUUGUUCACGAGAAGGAUAGCUUUUUAGGUGGAAAGUGUUUUGAAUGUGGUGUAUUGUUUUUUUUCAAGGGUAAAUGCUUGUGAUUGUGUGGUGAAUAUGCCAUCGAGUGUGAAUGUAUGUCAUUUAAAAUGUAUUGAGCGUUGUCUACUGUAUUCAUAUGACAGACCCUUUACACUGAAAGACAUAGCCUAUCUACGUAUAUAUAUAGAACGUGUUCGUUUUCCAUUUGGACAAUAGGACAUUGCCACCUCUUUGCUUAUUUGAGUUAUCCUAUGAUUCUUCUGUCACACAUGCUGUAAAGAAGAAUGCUGUUGCAUGACUAAUCUACAUAAUGCUACACACCCAUAGUUUCAUCAUUCAUAAUACCCCCCCCCCCCACACAGAUAUUACACGAUAGCAUUCAUUGCAUCAUCGAUAGAAGAGAGCACAAGCACACACACACACACACACACACACACAGGCACCACCAUUUUGACAAUGAUUUUGAUUUAUCUGUGGUGCUUUAUGCAUAUAGGCAAAGAGAUGUUUAUUUGUAAAAAUAAACUCAAUUGAAAAGCUCAUACUUAUAUUCCAAUGCCUCAGAAAUAUAUCACAGGCCAUUCUCAACAGGAUACGUGUAUGCCAUAUUAGAGAACAUUAUGAUACACCCUCUUGGCCUCGGAAAUGUUUACCGAUUAUGUGAAUGUCUUAUGCAGACUAAAUCAUCACUGUUGAAUGUAUGCAAUGUAUGCAUACUCCAUUCCAAUAAAACAUAUUCACUUUCAAAUA
Salmo salar (Atlantic salmon) is the source of this 1535-nucleotide long non-coding RNA. RefSeq lists it as uncharacterized. The record is from RefSeq and is a predicted model, not a curated record. Lineage: Eukaryota; Metazoa; Chordata; Actinopteri; Salmoniformes; Salmonidae.